AUUGAACGCUGGCGGCAGGCCUAACACAUGCAAGUCGAGCGGAUGAAGGGAGCUUGCUCCUGGAUUCAGCGGCGGACGGGUGAGUAAUGCCUAGGAAUCUGCCUGGUAGUGGGGGAUAACGUCCGGAAACGGGCGCUAAUACCGCAUACGUCCUGAGGGAGAAAGUGGGGGAUCUUCGGACCUCACGCUAUCAGAUGAGCCUAGGUCGGAUUAGCUAGUUGGUGGGGUAAAGGCCUACCAAGGCGACGAUCCGUAACUGGUCUGAGAGGAUGAUCAGUCACACUGGAAAUGAGACACGGUCCAGAAUCCUACGGGAGGCAGCAGUGGGGAAUAUUGGACAAUGGGCGAAAGCCUGAUCCAGCCAUGCCGCGUGUGUGAAGAAGGUCUUCGGAUUGUAAAGCACUUUAAGUUGGGAGGAAGGGCAGUAAGUUAAUACCUUGCUGUUUUGACGUUACCAACAGAAUAAGCACAGGCUAACUUCGUG
RNAcentral lists this ribosomal RNA (484 nucleotides) under uncultured bacterium. RNAcentral's name for it is "partial 16S ribosomal RNA". It matches the Rfam family "Bacterial small subunit ribosomal RNA", at positions 30 to 507 of the family's 1533-position model. The record is from RNAcentral.